This 405-nucleotide ribosomal RNA is filed under the name uncultured bacterium. Its description in RNAcentral is "bacterial SSU rRNA". It matches the Rfam family "Bacterial small subunit ribosomal RNA", at positions 355 to 776 of the family's 1533-position model. The record is from RNAcentral.
UAGGGAAUUUUGCGCAAUGGGGGAAACCCUGACGCAGCAACGCCGCGUGAAUGAUUAAGCCCUUCGGGGUGUAAAGUUCUGUCAGUGGGGACGAAAGAUGACGGUACCCACAGAGGAAGCACCGGCUAACUCCGUGCCAGCAGCCGCGGUAAUACGGAGGGUGCGAGCGUUGUCCGGAAUCAUUGGGCGUAAAGAGUUCGUAGGUGGCACGUUAAGUCUGGUGUUAAAUGCAGAAGCUCAACUUCUGUUCGGCACUGGAUACUGGCGAGCUUGAAUGCGGUAGAGGUAAAGGGAAUUCCUGGUGUAGCGGUGAAAUGCGUAGAUAUCAGGAGGAACAUCGGUGGCGUAAGCGCUUUACUGGGCCGUAAUUGACACUGAGGAACGAAAGCCAGGGUAGCAAAUGGG